Molecule: ribosomal RNA, 408 nt
Filed under: uncultured bacterium
Lineage: Bacteria
Description: partial 16S ribosomal RNA
Rfam family: Bacterial small subunit ribosomal RNA
Source: RNAcentral
GACGAACGCUGGCGGCGUGCUUAACACAUGCAAGUCGAACGAAGUGGCGAACGGGUGAGUAACGCGUAAUCAACCUGCCCUUCAGCGGGGGACAAUACUGGGAAACGACUGCUAAUACCGCCUAGUGAUGGCUGCGAUGGAGUCUGAUUCGCUAGUGGGAGGGGUAACGGCCCACCAAGACGAUGGGCAGUAGCCGGUCUUGGAGGAUGAACGGACACAUCUGGAACGAGACACGGCCCAGACUCCUACGGGAGGCAGCAGUGGGGGAUCUUCCGAAAGGGACGAAAGUCCGACGGAGCAACGCCGCGUGAGUGAUGACGGCCUUCGGGUGGUAAAGCUCUGUUAAUCCGGACGCGGUACCGGAAUAGAAAGCCACGGCUAACUACGUGCCAGCAGCCGCGGUAAUUC